Molecule: ribosomal RNA, 398 nt
Filed under: uncultured bacterium
Lineage: Bacteria
Description: partial 16S ribosomal RNA
Rfam family: Bacterial small subunit ribosomal RNA
Source: RNAcentral
AUACGUAGGGUGCGAGCGUUGUCCGGAAUUACUGGGCGUAAAGAGCUCGUAGGUGGUUUGUCGCGUCGUCUGUGAAAUUCCGGGGCUUAACUCCGGGCGUGCAGGCGAUACGGGCAUAACUUGAGUACUGUAGGGGAGACUGGAAUUCCUGGUGUAGCGGUGAAAUGCGCAGAUAUCAGGAGGAACACCGGUGGCGAAGGCGGGUCUCUGGGCAGUAACUGACGCUGAGGAGCGAAAGCAUGGGUAGCGAACAGGAUUAGGUACCCUGGUAGUCCAUGCCGUAAACGGUGGGCGCUAGGUGUAGGGGUCUUCCACGACUUCUGUGCCGUAGCUAACGCAUUAAGCGCCCCGCCUGGGGAGUACGGCCGCAAGGCUAAAACUCAAAGGAAUUGACGGGG